CGCAAAGAAGAGUUUAAAGAAGAGCGUUCUAGUAAGACGUCAUUUCCUAUACAUGCUUCCAUUUUAGGGGCAAGGAUAGUGGGAUCGUUCUGGAGAAAAGUGGAGUUUUUCACCUCUUUCACAUGAGAGAAAAGAUGAAAAAGAGAACACAGGAGCCCCAGAAUUAUUCCAGCCUAGACCCUGCUUUUUCACCCUGAAAGGUGAAAGAUAGCCACGACUGCCUUACCGUUCACAUCCUCCCACUUGGGUAGGGAUGAGACAUAAAGUAUCACAGAGUAUCCCUGCAGCUGCUCCAUGCAAGAAGAUGUUUAGCUCAACUUUGUUUUGGCAGCACUGAG
This is a long non-coding RNA of Heteronotia binoei (common prickly gecko), 338 nucleotides long. RefSeq lists it as uncharacterized. The record is from RefSeq and is a predicted model, not a curated record. The transcript is spliced from 2 exons. Lineage: Eukaryota; Metazoa; Chordata; Lepidosauria; Squamata; Gekkonidae.